RNAcentral lists this small nucleolar RNA (146 nucleotides) under Ananas comosus (pineapple). Its description in RNAcentral is "small nucleolar RNA snoR134". It matches the Rfam family "small nucleolar RNA snoR134". The record is from Rfam by way of RNAcentral. Lineage: Eukaryota; Viridiplantae; Streptophyta; Magnoliopsida; Poales; Bromeliaceae.
AUGCACGGAGCCUACCCCGGGCACUUCGGAGGUAUCCGCUGAGGAAGGAAGCCCCAAUGCCCGUGCGACAUUGAUUCGCCGUUCUGUGUUGCAGGUCACGACUCUCUCUCGAGUGACUGAUCUGUGUCAAUGUUACGGCUAUAUUU